GGCUCGGUGGUCUAGGGGUAUGAUUCUUUCUUCGGGUGCGAGAGGUCCCGGGUUCAGAUCCCGGCCGUGCCC
This 72-nucleotide transfer RNA is filed under the name Caerostris darwini. RNAcentral describes it as "tRNA-Pro". Lineage: Eukaryota; Metazoa; Arthropoda; Arachnida; Araneae; Araneidae. The record is from RNAcentral.